RNAcentral lists this ribosomal RNA (253 nucleotides) under uncultured bacterium. Its description in RNAcentral is "partial 16S ribosomal RNA". It matches the Rfam family "Bacterial small subunit ribosomal RNA", at positions 524 to 776 of the family's 1533-position model. The record is from RNAcentral.
UACGUAGGGUGCGAGCGUUGUCCGGAAUUAUUGGGCGUAAAGAGCUUGUAGGCGGUUUGUCGCGUCUGCUGUGAAAAUCCGGGGCUCAACCCCGGACUUGCAGUGGGUACGGGCAGACUAGAGUGUGGUAGGGGAGACUGGAAUUCCUGGUGUAGCGGUGAAAUGCGCAGAUAUCAGGAGGAACACCGAUGGCGAAGGCAGGUCUCUGGGCAACUACUGACGCUGAGAAGCGAAAGCGUGGGGAGCGAACAGG